Molecule: non-coding RNA, 181 nt
Filed under: human gut metagenome
Also listed under: 1 other name
Description: Lysine riboswitch
Rfam family: Lysine riboswitch aptamer
About the family: Riboswitches are metabolite binding domains within certain messenger RNAs that serve as precision sensors for their corresponding targets. Allosteric rearrangement of mRNA structure is mediated by ligand binding, and this results in modulation of gene expression.
Source: RNAcentral
ACGAUUGAGGUGCGUUUUUCAUCAGUAACGGCUGUACACCUGUCCCGAUGCUUCCGGCCGCCGUGAAAGGGAGAAACGCCGAAAAUGCCGCUGCCCGUUCGGGAGGGGCGCAGCGUUUGGGCCGUCGGCGGAAUACGCGACGGACUGUCAUCAUGAAGAUUUAUGAUGGAGUGCUGUCUGU